GAAGUACACGUGUAACUCGGUUCGCAAGUUCUUCGGAGGUCGGAGCCCCAGGACUCAGAGCAGCUGCAGGAAGGGGCCUGGGGCAACCAUCCUCGGCUCGCCCAGACUGCAGGUAGAGAUUAAGGGGAAAACACACAAAAAAAUGAAGAACCACCCCAGAGAUGGCAAUGAAAAGGAUCAAUUGGCAGCUGAUAGUUCAACUGAAGGACAUAGAAGAUGAUUUCAGACCCACCUCUAACCCCAGUGAUGACACAAGAGGCAUGACAUCCUUGCAGCAGAUUUUACACAGAUUUGGGGGACUUUUGUCUUCCAUAAAAAGUAUCACUCCAGGGCCAGGUGCAGUGGCUCAUGCCUAUAAUCCCAACACUUUGGAAGGCUGAGGCGGGCAGAUCACGAGGUCAGGAGAUCGAGACCAUCCUGGCUAACACGGUGAAACCCCGUCUCUACUAAAAAUACAAAAACAAAAAUAAGCCGAGCGUGGUGGUGGGCACCUGUAGUCCCAGCUGCUCAGGAGACUGAGGCGGGGAGAAUGGCGUCAACCUGGGAGGCGCAGCUUGCAGUGAGCUGAGAUCGCACCACUGCACUCCAGCCUGGGCGACAGAGCGAGACUCCGUCUCAAAAAAAAAUAUCACUCCAGAAAUGACAGACUAGCAGAUUCUUAUUCUUAUACAAACCAUUUCUUAAGAAGAAAAAUUUCAAAGUCCUUUCUACGUAAGGAUUUAGAUUGGCAUAAAAUCAGCCUCCUAAAAUAUACUUUUUUGAAAGCUUGAUUUAAGACAUCUUCCAGCAGUUUUCUUACUCAAUUCCUUUCGCUUUCAGCUCCUCUUUGACACGUUUCAGAAGGUGCCAUCCCCAGAAGCAGAGUCUGCCAUGUUCCUGGCUGCCUCCCCAGCUCCUAUAACAGUGCCUGGAACACAUUAAGCAGUGGAUAUCUAUUGUUGAAUGAAUCUUGUCAUCAUUCAAGUUGCAGGCCAAACGUCACCUCCUCAGUCAAGUUGUCUCUGAUUUCUGGUUAGAAGUAGCACCAGGCUAGGCGCAGUAAUUCAUGACUGUAAUCCCAGCACUUUGGGAGGCCAAGGCGGGCAGAUCGCUUGAGCCCAGGAGUUUGAG
This is a non-coding RNA of Macaca mulatta (Rhesus monkey), 1110 nucleotides long. Lineage: Eukaryota; Metazoa; Chordata; Mammalia; Primates; Cercopithecidae. The record is from RefSeq and is a predicted model, not a curated record.